This 319-nucleotide long non-coding RNA is filed under the name Capsella rubella. RNAcentral describes it as "long non-coding RNA (CRUB_LNC004790)". Lineage: Eukaryota; Viridiplantae; Streptophyta; Magnoliopsida; Brassicales; Brassicaceae. The record is from RNAcentral.
GAUGCACUGGUGGUGGAACUGCACUUGCCGACUCACAAUAGUUAAGAUAUAUGGUCCCUAAAACUAAAAAUAGAAAUUUCAACUAUCGUCGUGGCCUGAAACUUCUAUAAUAGUAUCUGUACAUUUAUGAUUUAAGAUGCAUGUCUAUAUACAUGUUUCAUCAAUAACUAUUCUUUUUUUUUUUUUUUUUGUUAAAAGGCAUAUCAAUAACUAUUCUUCCCACGAAAAAAAUACGAGAGCCCACGUAGAAUCUUAUAUAAUAAGACAAGGUUUUUUCUUAACUUUGCCUCACAAUGCGACAUUUGUCACUCUGUGCUUC